RNAcentral lists this ribosomal RNA (442 nucleotides) under uncultured bacterium. RNAcentral's name for it is "partial 16S ribosomal RNA". It matches the Rfam family "Bacterial small subunit ribosomal RNA", at positions 338 to 795 of the family's 1533-position model. The record is from RNAcentral.
CCUACGGGAGGCAGCAGUGGGGAAUAUUGGGCAAUGGGCGCAAGCCUGACCAAGCAACGCCGCGUGAAGGAAGAAGGCUUUCGGGUUGUAAACUUCUUUUGUCAGGGAAGAGUAGAAGACGGUACCUGACGAAUAAGCCACGGCUAACUACUUGCCAGCAGCCGCGGUAAUACGUAGGUGGCAAGCGUUGUCCGGAUUUACUGGGUGUAAAGGGCGUGUAGCCGGGUUGACAAGUCAGAUGUGAAAUCCUGCGGCUUAACCGCAGAACUGCAGUUGAAACUGUUGAUCUUGAGUACUGGAGAGGCAGAUGGAAUUACUAGUGUAGCGGUGAAAUGCGUAGAUAUUAGGAGGAACACCAGUGGCGAAGGCGGUCUGCUGGACAGCAACUGACGGUGAGGCGCGAAAGCGUGGGGAGCAAACAGGAUUAGAUACCCCAGUAGUC